AUUGAACGCUGGCGGCAGGCCUAACACAUGCAAGUCGAGCGGAUGAAGGGAGCUUGCUCCUGGAUUCCGCGGCGGACGGGUGAGUAAUGCCUAGGAAUCUGCCUGGUAGUGGGGGAUAACGUCCGGAAACGGGCGCUAAUACCGCCUACGUCCUGAGGGAGAAAGUGGGGGAUCUUCGGACAUCACGCUAUCUGAUGAGCCUAGGUCGGAUUAGCUAGUUGGUGGGGUAAAGGCCUACCUAGGCGACGAUUCGUAACUGGUCUGUGAGGAUGAUCAGUCACAUUAGAGGGGGAACAGGGUCCUGACGCCUGCGAUAGGGAGCAGUGGGGAAUGGGAGGCAGCGGUGGAGAGCCUUGUCCAGCCGUGCCGCGCGUGAGGAGAAGAUGCUCGGAGUGGAAAGCACUUUGAGGUGUGGGGAAGGGCAGUAAGUUAAGACCAUGCGGGAGUGACGGUACCGGGAGAAGAAGCACCGGCUAACUACGUG
RNAcentral lists this ribosomal RNA (484 nucleotides) under uncultured bacterium. RNAcentral's name for it is "partial 16S ribosomal RNA". It matches the Rfam family "Bacterial small subunit ribosomal RNA", at positions 29 to 507 of the family's 1533-position model. The record is from RNAcentral.